UGAGGUUCAGACAGGCUAAGUCCCUACUGCAGGCUGCGGAAUCUAAAAAGGUCAUGAACUCUGAGAGUUUGAGAUGAGCCUCUAAAAGCUGUAUCAAUAGCACCUUGCACUGUUGAAGCAGAUAGUGUCUUGCAAUGUCGCCCAGGCUGGAGUGCAGUGGUGCCCCUCCUGUUGUGAAUGGACAGAGUCCUGAGCAAGGAAACCUAGAAGGGAGAGAGGAAUACCAUGGAAUUGAGUCCUGUCUGGUAGCACUGACAGACACAGUGGCCAGCCACCCUCAUGCCACCCUGUCCUGCCAUGGGAAGGAACAGCAGCUCUAGAGUUCCUAUGGGAACUCUCUUUCCUUCUCACUGAACUCUAGCUUCAUCAAUAACUCAGUGCCUCUGGCCAAGUUUUUAGCCUCUGGGACAACAUCCACUAUAUCCAUAUGAGGCACUCAUGUAACACGGUGAUUAAGAGUACAGAUGCUGAAGCCAGCAGCCUAAGUCUGAAUCCUGACUGCCAAUUAUUAAUAUAAGUUGUGGAACCAUGGUCAAGUUACUCAACCUCUUUAUGCCUCUGUCUCCUGGU
Molecule: long non-coding RNA, 570 nt
Filed under: Homo sapiens (human)
Lineage: Eukaryota; Metazoa; Chordata; Mammalia; Primates; Hominidae
Description: novel transcript (contains ZIM2-AS1 and PEG3-AS1)
Source: RNAcentral